RNAcentral lists this ribosomal RNA (773 nucleotides) under uncultured bacterium. Its description in RNAcentral is "bacterial SSU rRNA". It matches the Rfam family "Bacterial small subunit ribosomal RNA", at positions 8 to 798 of the family's 1533-position model. The record is from RNAcentral.
AGAGUUUGAUCAUGGCUCAGGACGAACGCUGGCGGCGUGCUUAACACAUGCAAGUCGAACGGAAAGGCCCUUCGGGGUACUCGAGUGGCGAACGGGUGAGUAACACGUGGGUGAUCUGCCCUGCACUCUGGGAUAAGCCUGGGAAACUGGGUCUAAUACCGGAUAGGACCGCAUGCUUCAUGGUGUGUGGUGCAAAGCUUUUGCGGUGUGGGAUGAGCCCGCGGCCUAUCAGCUUGUUGGUGGGGUAAUGGUCUACCAAGGCGACGACGGGUAGCCGGCCUGAGAGGGUGACCGGCCACACUGGGACUGAGAUACGGCCCAGACUCCUACGGGAGGCAGCAGUGGGGAAUAUUGCACAAUGGGCGCAAGCCUGAUGCAGCGACGCUGCGUGAGGGAUGACGGCCUUCGGGUUGUAAACCUCUUUCAGUAGGGACGAAGCGAAAGUGACGGUACCUACAGAAGAAGGACCGGCCAACUACGUGCCAGCAGCCGCGGUAAUACGUAGGGUCCGAGCGUUGUCCGGAAUUACUGGGCGUAAAGAGCUCGUAGGUGGUUUGUCGCGUUGUUCGUGAAAACUCACAGCUUAACUGUGGGCGUGCGGGCGAUACGGGCAGACUAGAGUACUGCAGGGGAGACUGGAAUUCCUGGUGUAGCGGUGGAAUGCGCAGAUAUCAGGAGGAACACCGGUGGCGAAGGCGGGUCUCUGGGCAGUAACUGACGCUGAGGAGCGAAAGCGUGGGUAGCGAACAGGAUUAGAUACCCCGGUAGUCCAA